This 599-nucleotide ribosomal RNA is filed under the name uncultured bacterium. Its description in RNAcentral is "bacterial SSU rRNA". It matches the Rfam family "Bacterial small subunit ribosomal RNA", at positions 63 to 659 of the family's 1533-position model. The record is from RNAcentral.
CGAACGGUAGACCCUUUCGGGGGUUGAGAGUGGCGAACGGGUGAGUAAUGCAUCGGAACGUACCCAGUCGUGGGGGAUAACGUAGCGAAAGUUACGCUAAUACCGCAUACGUCCUGAGGGAGAAAGCGGGGGACCGGUAACGGCCUCGCGCGAUUGGAGCGGCCGAUGUCAGAUUAGCUAGUUGGUGGGGUAAAGGCCUACCAAGGCGACGAUCUGUAGCGGGUCUGAGAGGAUGAUCCGCCACACUGGGACUGAGACACGGCCCAGACUCCUACGGGAGGCAGCAGUGGGGAAUUUUGGACAAUGGGCGCAAGCCUGAUCCAGCCAUGCCGCGUGCGGGAAGAAGGCCUUCGGGUUGUAAACCGCUUUCGGACGGAAAGAAAUCGCCAGGGCCAAUACCCCUGGUGGAUGACGGUACCGUAAGAAGAAGCACCGGCUAACUACGUGCCAGCAGCCGCGGUAAUACGUAGGGUGCGAGCGUUAAUCGGAAUUACUGGGCGUAAAGCGUGCGCAGGCGGCUUUUUAAGCCAGACGUGAAAUCCCCGGGCUUAACCUGGGAACUGCGUUUGGAACUGGAAGGCUAGAGUGUGUCAGAGGGG